UGGGGAAUAUUGCACAAUGGGCGCAAGCCUGAUGCAGCCAUGCCGCGUGUGUGAAGAAGACCUUCGGGUUGUAAAGCACUUUCAGCGGGGAGGAAGGCGAUAAGGUUAAUAACCUUGUCGAUUGACGUUACCCGCAGAAGAAGCACCGGCUAACUCCGUGCCAGCAGCCGCGGUAAUACGGAGGGUGCAAGCGUUAAUCGGAAUUACUGGGCGUAAAGCGCACGCAGGCGGUCUGUCAAGUCGGAUGUGAAAUCCCCGGGCUCAACCUGGGAACUGCAUUCGAAACUGGCAGGCUAGAGUCUUGUAGAGGGGGGUAGAAUUCCAGGUGUAGCGGUGAAAUGCGUAGAGAUCUGGAGGAAUACCGGUGGCGAAGGCGGCCCCCUGGACAAAGACUGACGCUCAGGUGCGAAAGCGUGGGGAGCAAACAGG
RNAcentral lists this ribosomal RNA (429 nucleotides) under Chloroflexota bacterium. Its description in RNAcentral is "Chloroflexi bacterium partial 16S ribosomal RNA". It matches the Rfam family "Bacterial small subunit ribosomal RNA", at positions 355 to 776 of the family's 1533-position model. The record is from RNAcentral. Lineage: Bacteria; Bacillati; Chloroflexota.